RNAcentral lists this transfer RNA (93 nucleotides) under Aphis sumire. RNAcentral describes it as "tRNA-Val". Lineage: Eukaryota; Metazoa; Arthropoda; Insecta; Hemiptera; Aphididae. The record is from RNAcentral.
UAAAUAUCUAAAUUUAAGUAUAUCAUUUACAAUGAUAAGAUGUUGUUGAACUUUAUUUAAAUUAAAUUUAUUAAUGUAUUUUUUUUUUUUUUA